AGUGAACGCUGGCGGCAGGCCUAAUACAUGCAAGUCGAACGGCAGCACAGCAGAGCUUGCUCUGUGGGUGGCGAGUGGCGGACGGGUGAGGAAUACAUGGGAAUCUGCCCAGUCGUGGGGGAUAACGUAGGGAAACUUACGCUAAUACCGCAUGCGCCCUUCGGGGGAAAGCCGGGGACCUUCGGGCCUGGCGCGAUUGGAUGAGCCCAUGUCGGAUUAGCUAGUUGGUGAGGUAACGGCUCACCAAGGCGACGAUCCAUAGCUGGUCUGAGAGGAUGAUCAGCCACACUGGGACUGAGACACGGCCCAGACUCCUACGGGAGGCAGCAGUGGGGAAUAUUGGACAAUGGGCGCAAGCCUGAUCCAGCCAUGCCGCGUGAGUGAUGAAGGCCUUAGGGUUGUAAAGCUCUUUCAGUGGGGACGAUAAUGACGGUACCCACAGAAGAAGCCCCGGCUAACUUCGUGCCAGCAGCCGAC
Molecule: ribosomal RNA, 477 nt
Filed under: uncultured bacterium
Lineage: Bacteria
Description: bacterial SSU rRNA
Rfam family: Bacterial small subunit ribosomal RNA
Source: RNAcentral